Long non-coding RNA from Scophthalmus maximus (turbot), 695 nucleotides. RefSeq lists it as uncharacterized. The record is from RefSeq and is a predicted model, not a curated record. The transcript is spliced from 4 exons. Lineage: Eukaryota; Metazoa; Chordata; Actinopteri; Pleuronectiformes; Scophthalmidae.
CGAAGUUAGUGGUGUGUUUGUUUGUGUGGCAGCGCUUUGAGUGCUGUGACCGUUGCUGAGUGUCGUAGUAGGAGAGGCGCAUGGGGUAAGAAUUGGGCAGACGCACUCCAAGCUGCACGACCUUGAGGGUAAACUGCUCCCAUGUGCGGAAGACACAGCAAUGCUUUGAGCUACGUGCUCACAAUGACAGCAGGAAGAUGUCCGAGGUCAGAACCGAACGCUGCAGGAGGACUCGAGUCUCAAGUACUGCUAAGUGAGCUAACCAACGCACACUUUUGUAUUCCUAUUGACCACUGAAAGCUUUACAGGACAAGUCAAAUUCACCCAUUUACACACAUUCAUACAUGCCAUGCUUUUUCUGUCACAUUCAUAUACAUUCAUACACUACCGAGAGGCCCAAGGACACAACGGCAUGCGAAAGGAAGCGAGGAUCGAAUCGCCGAUCUUCGGGUUAGUUGACGACCUGAGCCACAGCCACCUAAUGACUCACACCUCGCUUCUCUUUCAUGACUGUACAUUGAAUCCUGCAAAACCUGAUGACCCUUAAGGCAACAGUUGUAUAAAAGCAAAAGGAAUCACAGUUCUACAAGUCAUAAGGAGCAAGUUGUCCUCCUAACUAUUGUUUUUCUUCAUAUAUAAAUGUCCAAGUGGGGAAAUUGGUAAUUACAAUCAUGUUAUGUUGUUUGUCAAAACUA